CUUCAGUUUAUUUUUGACAAAAACUUGCCGUCUAUCAUUGAAUUUGCCAUCUUGCAUGACUAGUGUUAAGAUUAAAAAUAAUCUGUAAUUAGGGAAAUCUCCCCUUGUCCAUCGAGCGCACGGUUGCUCUCUCUCUCUCUCGAACCGUCGCCGUCUCCCUGGAACCGACGCGUCCCUCCUCUGGACCGUCGUGUCCCUCCAAGGGAGAUAUAAACCCCCCCUGUAACCAUCGCCAAGAUUGAUCGUUUGUCUGAUUCAAAACACGUUAUCACGCACGCUAGAACUACCAACGAGCGAAACAACAGAGGAAGAGAGGUUCGCCGACGGUGAGAUGACAGACCUCACCCUUUUCUUCCUUAGCCUGAUCCGCGAGGAUGGUCGCCGCUACCGUCGUCGCCAUCAUGGUGUGGGUGGUUUCCGUCGCUACUGUCGUCGGAUGCAUGCCAUCCGCCAGUUCGGCCGCCACCGCGCCGCUGGACGUGGUGCUUCUGGCCGCCACGACGCCACUGGACGCGCCCCCGGCGGUGCUCCCUUCGCCCCUGGACACGCCCACGGCGGUGCUCCUUGCGUCCGUGGCCAGGCGCCCAUGGGGUUCGACCCCUGGCUUCUGGCAGGCCCGAGCGCCUCCAUGGUGCACAGGAAUGCAGCCGCGCCUGCACCACCCCCUGGUUCUCCGCCUCCACCCCCUCCUCCGCCAGCCGCUUGGAUCCCGCCAUCGACGCCGACACCUGACGCCAUGGUUGCUGGCUCGAGCCGAGGCCCGCCUGGCUAUGCCCCAGUGCCGAUGUGCUCGGUGGUGAACGAGGAGGAGGCGCUCGCCUUUGUCUCCGUGCCGACCGGUGCCUCCGGGGUCGUCCGCCUCGGGGUCGGGAUGGAGGGCGCCGACGCCACCGCCCCGCCACCACUGGUAACCACCGCGGGCUCGAGCAGCCGCGUGGAGAGGCGCUUUGGCCGACUCUUCGGACGCGCCGUCUCCGCCGUCGACCGCCGUCCCGGCCACCGCGCUGGCUCGUGGGCUCCGGCGACCCUCGGCCUCGCCAGCGCUGCGCCAGAAGGGGCUCGCCAUCAACCCGUCGUCGCCUCUUCUUCGGACGAGGAGUGCUCGACGGGGCUGCGCCGGUGACCAUCGGAGAUGCAAGGGGAGGCGCGGCGCUUGCUCACAUCGGCGGCGGCUGCAGCUCCCCGCGCGGUGGAGGGGAUCGAGUGGUGGAGGGGAUAGAAUGGUGGUUUGGGUCGGGGCUUGACCCUUAUCCACGACCGCCUCAUCCCCUCGCCUCCUCUCUGAUGCGGUGGGAUGGUUGUGGGCCAGUUUCGGCUGGUUGUGGGCCGGCUUCGGCUGGCUGUUGCAGCCCAGGCCCAGGCGACCGGCCUGCUCCCUUGAUUGAUUUUUUUUCUCUGAUUGAUUAAUAUUAGUACUAAUUAUUGUAUUAGUACAGUUUUAGACUAUUUUUAGUACUGUUUAGUACUUAGAUUAACUACUACAUACACUAUAGUCCUGUUUUAGAUUUAUUCUAUGUUAGGACUUGUGUAAUUAUUAGUAGGUGUGUUUAUAUUAUGUAAUGGAUUGCA
Molecule: ribosomal RNA, 1569 nt
Filed under: Triticum aestivum (bread wheat)
Lineage: Eukaryota; Viridiplantae; Streptophyta; Magnoliopsida; Poales; Poaceae
Description: partial small subunit ribosomal RNA
Source: RNAcentral